Molecule: ribosomal RNA, 466 nt
Filed under: uncultured bacterium
Lineage: Bacteria
Description: partial 16S ribosomal RNA
Rfam family: Bacterial small subunit ribosomal RNA
Source: RNAcentral
ACGAACGCUGGCGGCGUGCUUAACACAUGCAAGUCGAACGGAAAGGCCCUGCUUUUGUGGGGUGCUCGAGUGGCGAACGGGUGAGUAACACGUGAGUAACCUGCCCUUGACUUUGGGAUAACUUCAGGAAACUGGGGCUAAUACCGGAUAGGAGCUCCUGCUACAUGGUGGGGGUUGGAAAGUUUCGGCGGUUGGGGAUGGACUCGCGGCUUAUCAGCUUGUUGGUGGGGUAGUGGCUUACCAAGGCUUUGACGGGUAGCCGGCCUGAGAGGGUGACCGGCCACAUUGGGACUGAGAUACGGCCCAGACUCCUACGGGAGGCAACAGUGGGGAAUAUUGCACAAUGGGCGGAAGCCUGAUGCAGCAACGCCGCGUGCGGGAUGACGGCCUUCGGGUUGUAAACCGCUUUCGCCUGUGACGAAGCGUGAGUGACGGUAAUGGGUAAAGAAGCACCGGCUAACUACGU